This 423-nucleotide long non-coding RNA is filed under the name Mus pahari (shrew mouse). Its description in RNAcentral is "lncRNA (MGP_PahariEiJ_G0003075.1)". Lineage: Eukaryota; Metazoa; Chordata; Mammalia; Rodentia; Muridae. The record is from RNAcentral.
GAGUUGGACCCACAGGUAACAAAGUCAACUGAUGUAAUAGGCUCUGUGCGUGGGCCACAGCCUGCUGCUUUAGAGCUAGGAAAGCCCUAGAGGAUGGGGCAUCUAGGAAAGACACAUACUUUGGAUUUGGGACUGAGCAAUGAAGUCACAGUCAACUUAUCCAGUACUCAUGUUCUACAGACUGGUCUUCCAGAGAUAGGGCUGGCCUCAUGGCAUGUGAUGACCAUGAGGAGCUAGCCUCUGUGGUCCAGAUGCUGGACGUAGCCAAGAGCCUAAGCCAGUGAAGUAAACCCUGGUGGAAUUCACCAGAAGCCACUGGCUCACCUAUUGGUAUACAGGAUGGACGAUGACAAGACUAAGCCUGUCUCAAUGUGGGAUCUCUGAACUUACACAUACUCCAAUAAAUUGUGGAAUUACACAGCA